UAAAGAUUUUAAGGGCGUACGGUGGAUGCCUUGGCGAUAUCAGCCGAAGAAGGACGCGGUAAGCUGCGAUAAGCUACGGAGAGGUGCAAGCAACCUUUGACCCGUAGAUUUCCGAAUGGGGGAACCCGGCAGUGGUUAUGCACUGUCACCCAUACCUUUGAGUAUGAGGAGGGCACCUGGGGAACUGAAACAUCUAAUUACCCAGAGGAAGAGUAAUCAAACGAGAUUUUCUUAGUAGCGGCGAGCGAACGGGAAAGAGGCCAAACCGGAGCGGGCAACCGCACCGGGGUUGAGGACAGUCAUCAAGUGUAAAUGAGGUAGAAGAAUCGAGUUGGAAAGCUCAGCCGCAGAAGGUGAAAGCCCUGUAAUCGAAACCUUGCAUACAUGGGACUGUAUCCAGAGUACCACGAGACACGUGAAACCUUGUGGGAAGCAGGGGGGACCACCCUCCAAGCCAAAAUACUGAUAUCGACCGAUAGCGCAUAGUACCGUGAGGGAAAGGUGAAAAGAACCCCUGGCGGGGAGUGAAAGAGAACCUGAAACCGUAUGUCUACAAACAGUCGAAGUCUGUAUAUAUAUCAGGACGACGGCGUGCCUAUUGAAGAAUGAACCGACGAGUUACUGUUGCUAGCGAGGUUAAGUGGAAAACAUGGAGCCGCAGCGAAAGCGAGUCUGAACAGGGCGUUCAGUUAGUAAUAGUAGACCCGAAACCGUAGUGAUCUAUCCAUGGCCAGGUUGAAGCACAGGUAAAAUUGUGUGGAGGACCGAACUCGUGAGCGUUGAAAAGCUUUGGGAUGAGUUGUGGAUAGGGGUGAAAUGCCAAUCGAACACGGAGAUAGCUGGUUCUCCCCGAAAUAGCUUUAGGGCUAGCCUCGAGGUUGAGAGUAUAGGCGGUAGAGCACUGAUCGGGCUAGGGGCCAUACCGGUUACCGAACCUAGUCAAACUACGAAUGGCUAUACUUAUACUCGGGAGUCAGACAGUGAAUGAUAAGGUCCAUUGUCAAGAGGGAAACAGCCCAGAACACCGACUAAGGUCCCCAAUGUCAUACUAAGUGGCGAAGGAUGUGGAAUUUCCAAAACAACCAGGAUGUUGGCUUAGAAGCAGCCACCAUUUAAAGAGUGCGUAAUAGCUCACUGGUCGAGAGACUCUGCGCCGAAAAUGUCCGGGGCUAAAGUAUGAAACCGAAGUCGUGUCAUAUGCAGCAAUGUAUAUGGGUAGGGGAGCGUUCUCAUCGGAUUGAAGCAGUACCGUAAGGAGUUGUGGACUGGUGAGAAGUGAGAAUGUCGGUAUGAGUAGCGAAAAGAAUGGUGAGAAUCCAUUCCACCGAAAGCCUAAGGGUUCCUGAGCAACGAUCGUCGUCUCAGGGUAAGUCGGGACCUAAGCCGAGGCGGAAAAGCGUAGGCGAUGGACAACAGGUUGAAAUUCCUGUACCGGUGUGAAUCGUUUGAUCGAAGGAGUGACACAGUAAGGUAGGUCAGCACGCGAUUGGAAGUGCGUGUUUAAGCAUGUAGGUUGAGUUAUAGGCAAAUCCGUAACUCUAAAAGCUGAGAUGUGAUGACGAGCUGUUUACAGCGAAGUGAUUGAUCCUACACUGUCGAGAAAAGCUUCUAGGUAGAGACACAUCGCCCGUACCAAAACCGACACAGGUAGGCGGGGAGAGAAUCCUAAGGUGCGCGGGAAAACCCUCGUUAAGGAACUCGGCAAAAUGCCUCCGUAACUUCGGGAAAAGGAGGACUCAUGUAGUGUGAAGGGCAGUAACGCGUGGAGCAUGAAUGAGUGGCACAAGAGAGGCGCAAGCGACUGUUUACCACAAACACAGGUGCCUGCUAAAGCGAAAGCUGAUGUAUAGGUGCUGACACCUGCCCGGUGCUGGAAGGUUAAGAGGAGGGGUUAGACUUUGGUCGAAGCUCUGAAUUGAAGCCCCAGUAAACGGCGGCCGUAACUAUAACGGUCCUAAGGUAGCGAAAUUCCUUGUCGGGUAAGUUCC
RNAcentral lists this ribosomal RNA (1988 nucleotides) under human gut metagenome. RNAcentral describes it as "bacterial LSU rRNA". It matches the Rfam family "Bacterial large subunit ribosomal RNA", at positions 1 to 1984 of the family's 2925-position model. The record is from RNAcentral.